UGCAUCAAAAAUAUUUUUCCCAGUCUGUGAUUUGCCUUUGCAUCUUCUUCAUGAUGUCUCAAUGCGCCUGAGUUCUUAAUUUUAGCAAAGUCUAGUUUAUCAAUUUUUUUAUGUUUAACUUUUUUUAUGUUCUGUCUAGGAAAUCUUUGGCUCCCCUUCGUCUCAGAGAUUUUCUCCUAAGUUUUCUACUAGGAGCCUUACAGUUUUCGUUUUCACAUUUAGCUCCUCACCCCCCAACCUAGAGCCAGGGCCUUUUGGAAGAGCUGGUUUCCAAGUCUGCAGAAGCCAUAACAUUGACCCCCUGAAACUGCUGAGAGACAACUGGGGUGCAACAGAACACAAGACUGAUUUCUUCUUUCUGGCUGACCUCUAGAGGCUGAACGAGAAGCCUGCGUCAACUCCCAGGAGGAACAGAAAAGGUAUUGGACCUUUGAUUUGAAAAGGGUGGAGCAAACAAGUGGCGAACAGGAAUGGGACAUCAGACUGCAGAAAGCAAGCCUUCAUUGUUCGGAAUGAGUUUCCCCACCUGGAAUAGUCACAGAGACCUUGUGAACGAUACUUCUGAAUCUUGGGCAGUGAAAGCAGAGAACAGAAAAGGCAUGAAAAUCCAUUUCUGAUAUUCAGAGGAGCAAGAGGGUAAGAAAUACCAAACGACCAAGUGCCAUCACUUCUUCUGAAUGUCAAGGAAACUCAAGUUUGUUUGAAACAGCAAUGAAGUAGCAAGACCCC
This is a long non-coding RNA of Camelus dromedarius (Arabian camel), 729 nucleotides long. RefSeq lists it as uncharacterized. The transcript is spliced from 4 exons. NCBI's taxonomy places the organism in Eukaryota, Metazoa, Chordata, Mammalia, Artiodactyla, Camelidae. The record is from RefSeq and is a predicted model, not a curated record.